RNAcentral lists this transfer RNA (68 nucleotides) under Marmota monax (woodchuck). Its description in RNAcentral is "tRNA.Val". Lineage: Eukaryota; Metazoa; Chordata; Mammalia; Rodentia; Sciuridae. The record is from RNAcentral.
GCUGUAGCUCAGUGGCAGAGUGCUUGCCUGACAUGUUUGAGGCACUUGGUUCCAUCCUUAGCACUGCA